RNAcentral lists this ribosomal RNA (254 nucleotides) under uncultured bacterium. RNAcentral's name for it is "partial 16S ribosomal RNA". It matches the Rfam family "Bacterial small subunit ribosomal RNA", at positions 524 to 776 of the family's 1533-position model. The record is from RNAcentral.
UACGAGGGGGGCGAGCGUUGUUCGGAAUUAUUGGGCGUAAAGGGUGCGUAGGCGGUUCCGCAAGUCCUGUGUGAAAUCUUCGGGCUCAACUCGAAGUCUGCACGGGAAACUGCGGGGCUUGAGUGUGGGAGAGGUGAGUGGGAUUCCCGGUGUAGCGGUGAAAUGCGUAGAUAGUCGGGAGGAACACCUGUGGCGAAAGCGGCUCACUGGACCAUAACUGACGCUGAUGCACGAAAGCUGGGGGAGCAAACAGG